RNAcentral lists this long non-coding RNA (1177 nucleotides) under Equus caballus (horse). Its description in RNAcentral is "lncRNA (ENSECAG00000055632.1)". Lineage: Eukaryota; Metazoa; Chordata; Mammalia; Perissodactyla; Equidae. The record is from RNAcentral.
AUAUCUUCACAUUCUUGCUGACACAUUAUACUGUCCAAAUUUUAAUUUGAGGCUUCAGGUGGGUGUGUGGUGAUGAUUGUGGUGUAAAUUUACUCAGCCUUUUCUUUUCUGUAAUUCUGUCCCUCGUCAAGAUUUGUGUGUGGGGGACAGGGUAGGAGGGAGCCCGGGAUUCCUACGUCAUCCUACGUGAAAAUGUUUGUGGGGCACUGAUAUCAUUUAUUUCUUUUACUUUACUUGGUAUUUCAAGUGCACUGUCCAGUAGUGUGGCCAGGACACAGAGUCAUUUCUCAAGGACCCCACGGAGUCUAAAUAUUAGACUCUAAAUAUUAGGUCUUCUUGUUUCCCUUUGAAAUAGCUUCUUUUAUCCAUCUGAUAAAACAACCCUGAGUACUCUUUUUAAAAACAAUAAUUAAGAUAUAAUUGACAUAUUAUAUUAGUUUCAGGUGUACAACAUAAUGAUUCAAUAUUUGUAUAUAUUGAGAACUGAUCCCACUAAGUCUAAUAAAUAUCCAUCGCCACAUAUACUUACAAAUGGAUUAAUUUUGAAAUGUGUAUACAUCCAUGAAACCAUGACUACAGUCAAGAUAAUGAACAAAUCCAUCACCCCCAAAGCCUUUGUAAUCCCUCCCACCUCCCAGCCUCCUCCCCCUCUGCCUCCAGACAACCACUGAUCUGCUUUCUGGGACCAUAAAUUAGUCUGCAAUUUCUAGAAAUGUAUAUAAAUGUAAUCAAACAGUAUGUUUUCUUUUCUCUCUUGUUUCUUCCACUCAGCAUAAUUACUUUGAGAUUCAUCUAUGUUGUUUCAUGUAUCAGUUCAAUCCAAUAUAUAGCUGAGUAGUAUUCCAUUAUAUGGAUGUAUUAUAAUUCAUUUAUCCUUUAUCCUGUCAACAGACAUUUGAGUUGUUCCAGUUUGGGGCUAUUAUGAAUAAAGCUGCUACAAACAUUUCUGUGAGAGUAUCUGAAUGAGUCUAAGUUUUUAUUUCUCUUUGGUAAAUACCUAGGUGUAAAAUUGUUAGGAAGUAAGAUAGUUGUAUGUUUGACUUUAGGAUGAAUUGACAAGCUGUUUUCCAAUUUUUAAAACUGUUUUAUAUUCCCACUAUUAAUUUAUGACUGCUCCAUUGACCCCACAUCUUUAUCAUCCUUCUUAUUAUCAGACUUUUGAAUUUUAGCCAUUCCC